AAGCGGCAAAAGCUCAAAUUUGAAAUCUGGUACCUUCGGUGCCCGAGUUGUAAUUUGGAGAGGGCAACUUUGGGGCCGUUCCUUGUCUAUGUUCCUUGGAACAGGACGUCAUAGAGGGUGAGAAUCCCGUGUGGCGAGGAGUGCGGUUCUUUGUAAAGUGCCUUCGAAGAGUCGAGUUGUUUGGGAAUGCAGCUCUAAGUGGGUGGUAAAUUCCAUCUAAAGCUAAAUAUUGGCGAGAGACCGAUAGCGAACAAGUACAGUGAUGGAAAGAUGAAAAGAACUUUGAAAAGAGAGUGAAAAAGUACGUGAAAUUGUUGAAAGGGAAGGGCAUUUGAUCAGACAUGGUGUUUUGUGCCCUCUGCUCCUUGUGGGUAGGGGGAAUCUCGCAUUUCACUGGGCCAGCAUCAGUUUUGGUGGCAGGGAUAAAUCCAUAGGAAUGUAGCUUGCCUCGGUAAGUAUUAUAGCCUGUGGGAAUACUGCCAGCUGGGGACUGAGGACUGC
RNAcentral lists this ribosomal RNA (501 nucleotides) under Saccharomyces cerevisiae (brewer's yeast). RNAcentral's name for it is "partial large subunit ribosomal RNA". It matches the Rfam family "Eukaryotic large subunit ribosomal RNA", at positions 96 to 598 of the family's 3401-position model. The record is from RNAcentral. Lineage: Eukaryota; Fungi; Ascomycota; Saccharomycetes; Saccharomycetales; Saccharomycetaceae.